Molecule: non-coding RNA, 144 nt
Organism: Gossypium hirsutum (cotton)
Lineage: Eukaryota; Viridiplantae; Streptophyta; Magnoliopsida; Malvales; Malvaceae
Source: Rfam
UAUUAAAAAUUUCUUCUAUUUAUACUGAUAAAAAUUGAUGCAGUUAACGGAACAAUCAAAUAGUGACAUGUGACGUGCCACGUGUAUCUCAUGUCAACAAAUAAGAAUUAGUUUUUAACUGUAGAAAUUAAUAAAUUUUUAAUA